GACAGAGCUUUGGACCUUCUCGAUGUGGCUCACUGGUGUUUCCCCAGGACUUAGAAGAGUGUGUGGCAUACAGCAGUGCCCAGUAAGCAUUUGCUGAAUCAGUGACUCAGCAGUAGGCACUCAAUCAAUGCUAGUCAACUGGAUUGAAUAAGCAGCAAGUCUUCCCAGGCACCAGUCCAUUGCAUUCCAGAUUUAACAUACCCGCUGGAGACCGGGCUCUGACUUGGAUCCUUCAGCUACAUAUCCACAGCCCCCUGGAAUGGGAAGGCAAGGAAUUAGCCAGCCCUGGGAGAGGCAGUCUCCAGGGUCAGCAAGGCUCCAAGAUGUCAAAGCCUCAGAAAAUAAAAGGUCACGAAAAGCAGGCCUGGCCCCACGGACUGUAGCUCACCCACCAGAUUCAAUCUCUCUCCUGGAACUGGUGACAAUUUUGGGGACCUGAUGAGAAAUGAAACUAUGGGGCCCUUGGUUCAGAGAUUAUUAAGAAUUUCAAGACAGUGACAGCAGAGCAUGAAAGCGAGCAUUUUACACCCAUGAAGCAGGUCCUUCUGUCGCCUGUCCUCACCAAAUUAUCAGGAAUGUGGCACCGGCCUCGUGGGCAUCUCUUGAUGUCCCUAAGUAACUCAAAGAAGGACUACUGAAACUUGGCCACAAUCUCAGGCCUAUUGUCCACACCUCAGUUGGCGGUUAUCUGGAGGAUUUUGUUGGAGAAGGGCGGUCUCCCUGCGCUGGGCCAUCACUCCUGGGGACGAGGGGCGGGGGGCACCUCCUGGGCCACUUGGGUCUCCUAGUGACAGGUGAGGUUCCCAUGGGCAUGAAGGCCUUGCCUCCCAAGGCUUCUCCCGGUGUGGAUCCGGCCAUGCUGGACCAGCGUGGACUUGUGCACGAAGGCCUUGCCGCAGGCUCCGCACUGGCAGGGCCUCUCUCUAGUCGCUGUAGGUCCUCUCCCGCAGGGUCAAGGCGGACGACUUGGGGAAGCGCCGCCUCCCAACUGGAGGCGAAAGAACACCCUCUGCCCUGUGGACGUCCUCUGGUGUGCUCACCGACCGCCCCGCCCCCCUUCCCGCGCGCUCCGCCUCCUACCCCAUAACGCUCUGCACCAGGGCCUUGCCCUGCCCUGGCAGCUCCUGAGGCAGCUCGCCAGGGUGCGUGUGGUGGUGGUGGUGGACCAGGUCUCACUUCCUGUGGAACGUCUUCCCGCAUACCCCGCAUGGGGCCUGUCACCCGUGGGGGCCCGCUGGUGGCCGAGCAGCGACGAGCACUUGGUGAAGCUUCGCACUUGAAGGGUUUGUCCCUGUGGACGUGCGGCCGCUGUCGGCGCAGAGGAAGGGCAGCUCACCUGUGUGCACCGAGAGGCCGACGCGCUUGCUGAAGGCCUUCGCGUACUAGGCACACGCGAACCGCUUGUCCCAGUCAUGCACGCUCUGGUGCUGCACCAGCUCAGCGGCCCGCGCGGAGGCCUCUCCGCACUCGUUGCCAGCUGUGGGCUCUCCUGGGGCUCUUCCCAUCGGAACUGCGCGAGUCACACUUGUGAAGUUCUCUCUGUUCUGCAGUUCCUGGCUGGGGGGUCUUCAGGGACCCUUUCUAAAUGUCUCCUGACCUCUCCGACCGCAGAGCGCCGGGAGCAGUCCCCUCCCAGUUCUUCCAGGGCCAGCCCAGGGGCACUCCUACAGGGACAGCUUCCGAUGGGCCGUUCUGCUCGGGCCUGGACUCCGAAUCUGAAAGAGACUAAAAACAGGACAGUCACCCGCGUCGCCUGGGGUGGCCUUAGGGACUCCUACACAGCCCUUAAACCCUGAGCCAAGUCAGUCUCAGUCCCAUAACAGUGACGGUUAUCAUAAUCACAGCUGACAUUUCUUGAGCACCUACUAUGUGCCACAUGCCAUGCCAGAGAUGGGUGGCGGUCUUUCCUGGGUGACCCCCUGAAGCCAGCUCCCUGCCCUCCCUCCCCAACUUCUCCAGUCCCAGGCCUGGAUAAACCAGGCAUCUUUGUGGUGGCAGGAGUUGGUGACAUUCAGAGACGUAGCAGUGGAUCAGCCCUUUGAAUCAUCUCCAUGUAUCUAUGAGAUGGGCCCCUCAUUGCCCAUAACCAUUCUACACUACUGCAAGCAUUUGAGCAUGCACUAUGUGCCAGGUCUCUUGAGAAACUCUUGACUCACAUAUCAUGUAAUUUAACUACAGGAGGAGAGACUUAGGGAUAAUAAAUUUGGGAAAGGCCACAGGACAGCGUCAGCACGAUAGGGGUAGCAUGUGGGUGUGAUUUUGUCUCUACUUGGACCUGAGUUAGAAAAUCCUGGAGCUCACGAGCUUGCCCAGAAGGAAUGAACAGAGCAGAAUUUCUGCCCUGAAGGCUGUGGCCACCUCCCUGGUGGCAUCUGGAGGGUCCUAGGACUGGAGACUCUCACACUACCUCUUCCCAUUAGCUGUUUUUUUUGUUUUGUUUUGUUUUUCAUUACUCUUUUCUCUUUUCCCU
Pteropus alecto (black flying fox) is the source of this 2470-nucleotide long non-coding RNA. RefSeq lists it as uncharacterized. The record is from RefSeq and is a predicted model, not a curated record. The transcript is spliced from 3 exons. Lineage: Eukaryota; Metazoa; Chordata; Mammalia; Chiroptera; Pteropodidae.